Drosophila simulans is the source of this 926-nucleotide long non-coding RNA. RefSeq lists it as uncharacterized. The transcript is spliced from 4 exons. The record is from RefSeq and is a predicted model, not a curated record. NCBI's taxonomy places the organism in Eukaryota, Metazoa, Arthropoda, Insecta, Diptera, Drosophilidae.
UUGUAUCGAUUUAAAGCCUACAGCUUGAUAAGAUGAUAAGAUUUUUAAAAAUCAUAACCUGGAAUACCCUAUUAGGGGUAGCCCUGCAGAAAGCUGCAUUACAGUCUGGCAACACCUAGCAAAUGUUCACACAUUCAAACAAUGUAAACAAUUAGUUAUUUUUAAAAGGAAUUAGUAUAUAUGUAUUGGUAUAUAGUAGUAUGCUUCCAGUAAAAAGAGGACUUUAAGGAGCAGAUUUAACGCUACUUGUCGGUUAUGCAGCAGCUCAGUGCGCAUCCUGCUCAAUCCCAGCCACCCAUUAAUCAUUCCAUUUGGCGGAUCGGGAGGAGGAGCAGGCAGGAAGAGGACCAGAAACAGGAGCAGGAACUGGAACAGGAACAGGAAUUCACCCACAUGUCAUUUGCAACGGAAAUUGCCGAUGGGAAGGGGAAGAGCCAGGGGAAACGCCAUGGAAAAGCAACGUACGGACGGGCAAAACGAUAUGGAAAUUGAAAAUCUGUAUGCAACGCCUGUCCCGAUUGCGUCCUUCAGCCUGCGGUCGCAGCUUAACUACCCCGCAACCACACGUCCUCUCACAGGUGGAAAAAUCAACAACAAGAGCGACUACGGAUUACUCUCAGUGGCAUAUGUGCAUGGGAAAUGGAUGUAUCUUUCUACUCGGUUUCGUUUCGAUGAGAUCCUGCAAAACUGUUUUUUUUUUAGCCAGAUUAAUUCCAAUAGCCAAUGGCUUAGUUGUUAAUACCUCUUACCAAAUAAGACUUGUGGCACUUAAGCUUGGCUACCAUUUUGUUGUGGGAAAAGCCAGCAAUUCUGCUAAUCUGGCUUAAGCAUAAAUUCUUGCUAUUUUGAAGCUUUGUUCAAAAAUGUAAUAAUGUUCUUUUCUUUGCCAAAAUAAAUGUCCCUUCCAAGUGGCUCUAUGUCAUCAA